CCUGAUUUUGCUGGGCUUUUCCUUCUCCUGCGUAAUACUCUAUUUUCCUUGCUUGUGCCUGAGCGUGGUGGUCCUGUCCGGCCGUGGACUGAAGGCACGACUCAAAGCACGACUUGGCCCGUUGUGGCGCUCAGCAGCUCCUGGUUGGAAACGAGAAGGUUGAAGAGUGUCUCGCGCUUUGAGGCUGUUGGAAGGGCUGCUGUUUCCUUGGAGGGAAGUGAAAGAGAGUUUGGAUGCCACCACAAGCCAACAUGGAACUGAGAUCAAACAUUCCAUGCAGAAGUGCCACGGCAGGACUUGGAUGACGCAGCAGGCCAAGAAUGUUGGAAAACCCCACCGUGGCUUGUCGUGUCAUGUCAUGCAAACCUUCUGUCUCUGCACAGGAGAGUCCCUGCAGUGCCCACAGGAGCCCUGGCAAUGAGAGCCCUUUCUUGCCUUCGUUCCCAAAUGUAUGCUAGCUGUACCUAGAAUCUGUCGGCCCGGUGCAACCAGAGUCCUUGGUAUGGCCAGGGGGUCUUGUCACCAUCAUCUGUGAAGUUGGAGAGGAGGAUGGCUGGAACCUAGCUGAGUCUGAGGAAGGAAAGGCUCGUUCACGGAUUGUUAUGGAGGUCCAGACAAGGUGACCUCCCACUGGUUGGAUGCUGUGCAAACCGAAGAAUGGACUAGAUCGGCCUUUGGCCUCCCUGCUCACCUGCCCAUGUUUUCCCAUGGCUGCUUCUGGCUUCUUCCAUACCACGGAAAGCCUGUGGUGAAAGGAAGUGGGGACUAGCUGCAGGAUGGCAGCUUCCGUACACGGCUUCGAGAGUGCCAUCACUCUGCCGCAUUUGCAGGAUAUAAGGUGGAGUACAGAUGGUGACUCUUUCCACUCUUAACCUUCCCGUGUUUUCUGGUUGCAGCAAAUCUGCUGAGGAAAAAAGGAAGGACCUGGCUGUUCGAGGAACCCUGCAUCCGGAGCACCCUUUGAUACAGGGAAAUCAUGUAACUCACAUUCCUCAUGGCACAGCCAUGAAUGUAGUCUCUCGCUAUCCCAAUAAAGUUCUCUGGAAUCCAA
Long non-coding RNA from Varanus komodoensis (Komodo dragon), 1051 nucleotides. RefSeq lists it as uncharacterized. NCBI's taxonomy places the organism in Eukaryota, Metazoa, Chordata, Lepidosauria, Squamata, Varanidae. The record is from RefSeq and is a predicted model, not a curated record. The transcript has 2 exons.